GAGGGUAUAGCUCAGUGGUAGACUGCAUGCUUAGCAUUCACAAGGUCCUGGGUUCAAUCCCCAGUACCUCCA
This 72-nucleotide transfer RNA is filed under the name Camelus bactrianus (Bactrian camel). It matches the Rfam family "tRNA". From Rfam's summary of the family: Transfer RNA (tRNA) molecules are approximately 80 nucleotides in length. Their secondary structure includes four short double-helical elements and three loops (D, anti-codon, and T loops). The record is from Rfam by way of RNAcentral. Lineage: Eukaryota; Metazoa; Chordata; Mammalia; Artiodactyla; Camelidae. RNAcentral also lists the same sequence under 2 other names.